Molecule: ribosomal RNA, 443 nt
Filed under: uncultured bacterium
Lineage: Bacteria
Description: partial 16S ribosomal RNA
Rfam family: Bacterial small subunit ribosomal RNA
Source: RNAcentral
CCUACGGGUGGCAGCAGUGGGGAAUAUUGGACAAUGGGGGGAACCCUGAUCCAGCGACGCCGCGUGAGUGAAGAAGUACUUCGGUAUGUAAAGCUCUAUCAGCAGGGAAGAAAGAAAUGACGGUACCUGACUAAGAAGCCCCGGCUAACUACGUGCCAGCAGCCGCGGUAAUCCGUAGGGGGCAAGCGUUAGCCGGAUUUACUGGGUGUAAAGGUAGCGUAGACGGCGAUGCAAGUCUGAAGUGAAAGGCGGGGGCGCAACCCCCGGACUGCAUUGGAAACUGGAUGGCUGGAGUGCAGGAGAGGUAGGUGGAAUUCCUAGUGUAGCGGUGAAAUGCGUAGAUAUUAGGAGGAACACCAGUGGCGAAGGCGGCUUACUGGACUGUAACUGACGUUGAGGCUCGAAAGCGUGGGGAGCAAACAGGAUUAGAUACCCUUGUAGUC